CCUACGGGUGGCAGCAGUGGGGAAUAUUGGACAAUGGGCGAAAGCCUGAUCCAGCCAUGCCGCGUGUGUGUAGAAGGCCUUCGGGUUGUAAAGCACUUUCAGUGGGGAAGAAAGCCUUGGGGCUAAUACCCUCGAGGAAGGACAUCACCCACAGAAGAAGCACCGGCUAACUCCGUGCCAGCAGCCGCGGUAAUACGGAGGGUGCGAGCGUUAAUCGGAAUUACUGGGCGUAAAGCGCGCGUAGGCGGUCUGAUAAGCCGGUUGUGAAAGCCCCGGGCUCAACCUGGGAACGGCAUCCGGAACUGUCAGGCUAGAGUGCAGGAGAGGAAGGUAGAAUUCCCGGUGUAGCGGUGAAAUGCGUAGAGAUCGGGAGGAAUACCAGUGGCGAAGGCGGCCUUCUGGACUGACACUGACGCUGAGGUGCGAAAGCGUGGGUAGCAAACAGGAUUAGAUACCCUGGUAGUC
RNAcentral lists this ribosomal RNA (465 nucleotides) under Vreelandella stevensii. RNAcentral describes it as "partial 16S ribosomal RNA". It matches the Rfam family "Bacterial small subunit ribosomal RNA", at positions 338 to 795 of the family's 1533-position model. The record is from RNAcentral. Lineage: Bacteria; Pseudomonadati; Pseudomonadota; Gammaproteobacteria; Oceanospirillales; Halomonadaceae.